GACGAACGCUGGCGGCGUGCUUAACACAUGCAAGUCGAACGGAAAGGCCCUGCUUUUGUGGGUUUCUCGUGUGGCGAACGGGUGUGUAUCACGUGUGUAUCCUGCCCUUUUCUUUGUGAUAUCUUCUCGAAACUGGGGCUAUUAUCCCAUAUGAUCUCCUGCUGCUUGGUGUGCGUUGGUUAGUUUCGGCGGUGGUGGAUGUUCUCGAGGCUUAUCCGCUUGUUUGUGGGGUUGUGGCUUACCAAGGCUUUGACGGGUAGCCGGCCUGAGAGGGUGAACGGCCACAAUGGGACUGAGAGACGGACCAGACGGCAACGGGAGGCAGCAGUGGGGAAUAUUGCACAAUGGGCGGAAGCCAGAGGCAGAAACGCCGCGUGCGGGAUGACGGCCUUCGGGUUGUAAACAGAUUUCGAAUGUGACGAAGAGUGAGUGACGGUAAUGGGUAAAGAAGCACCGGCUAACUACGUG
This 468-nucleotide ribosomal RNA is filed under the name uncultured bacterium. Its description in RNAcentral is "partial 16S ribosomal RNA". It matches the Rfam family "Bacterial small subunit ribosomal RNA", at positions 28 to 507 of the family's 1533-position model. The record is from RNAcentral.